AACGCACAUUGCGCCCGCCAGUAUUCUGGCGGGCAUGCCUGUUCGAGCGUCGUUUCAACCAUCAAGCCCCCCGGGCUUGUGUUGGGGACCUGCGGCUGCCCGCAGGCCCUGAAAACCAGUGGCGGGCUCGCUAGUCACACCGAGCGUAGUAGCAUACAUCUCGCUCAGGGCGUGCUGCGGGUUCCGGCCGUUAAACAGCCUCUGCGCUACACCCAAGGUUGACCUCGGAUCAGGUAGGAAGACCCGCUGAACUUAA
RNAcentral lists this unclassified non-coding RNA (256 nucleotides) under uncultured fungus. RNAcentral's name for it is "partial contains 5.8S ribosomal RNA, internal transcribed spacer 2, and large subunit ribosomal RNA". The stretch from base 1 to 52 matches the Rfam family "5.8S ribosomal RNA", at positions 103 to 154 of the family's 154-position model. The record is from RNAcentral. Lineage: Eukaryota; Fungi.